UCCUACGGGAGGCAGCAGUGGGGAAUAUUGCACAAUGGGGGAAACCCUGAUGCAGCAACGCCGCGUGAGUGAUGACGGUCUUCGGAUUGUAAAGCUCAGUCUUUAGGGACGAUAAUGACGGUACCUAAGGAGGAAGCCACGGCUAACUACGUGCCAGCAGCCGCGGUAAUA
RNAcentral lists this ribosomal RNA (171 nucleotides) under uncultured bacterium. RNAcentral describes it as "partial 16S ribosomal RNA". It matches the Rfam family "Bacterial small subunit ribosomal RNA", at positions 337 to 525 of the family's 1533-position model. The record is from RNAcentral.